UUGAACGCUGGCGGCAGGCCUAACACAUGCCAGUCGAACGGUAACAGGAAACAGCUUGCUGUUUCGCUGACGAGUGGCGGACGGGUGAGUAAUGUCUGGGAAACUGCCUGAUGGAGGGGGAUAACUACUGGAAACGGUAGCUAAUACCGCAUAACGUCGCAAGACCAAAGAGGGGGACCUUCGGGCCUCUUGCCAUCGGAUGUGCCCAGAUGGGAUUAGCUUGUUGGUGGGGUAACGGCUCACCAAGGCGACGAUCCCUAGCUGGUCUGAGAGGAUGACCAGCCACACUGGAACUGAGACACGGUCCAGACUCCUACGGGAGGCAGCAGUGGGGAAUAUUGCACAAUGGGCGCAAGCCUGAUGCAGCCAUGCCGCGUGUAUGAAGAAGGCCUUCGGGUUGUAAAGUACUUUCAGCGGGGAGGAAGGGAGUAAAGUUAAUACCUUUGCUCAUUGACGUUACCCGCAGAAGAAGCACCGGCUAACUCCGUG
RNAcentral lists this ribosomal RNA (489 nucleotides) under uncultured bacterium. RNAcentral describes it as "partial 16S ribosomal RNA". It matches the Rfam family "Bacterial small subunit ribosomal RNA", at positions 30 to 507 of the family's 1533-position model. The record is from RNAcentral.